CAGGUGGUUGUCCCGUUAUUAGGGGAAACAAAUGGUCUUCAACGAAAUGGAUGCAUCUUGAGGAGUACAAGGUCUAAGACACUACCUGUACGGGUACAUCUUGAGAUCAAUAGGAAAAUAGGAUUCACGUAUAUUCCUUGCUAGACUGCCUAGUGACAUUUUUGUCUUCUGAGGUGCCUCCGUAUUCUUUUUCCCCUGUACAGAACAAUAAUGCUUGGUGAUUUGUGUGGCGAGCAUGAUCUUAGCGUUGCUUUUUUCAGCACCAGGUUUGCCAGGUGUUUUUGAUUGUUGAACAAACUGAAAAGCAAUACAUUGUUGUCAUUUUCCUUUCUAUCGCACGUUAUUUUUAUC
This is a long non-coding RNA of Neltuma alba, 351 nucleotides long. RefSeq lists it as uncharacterized. Lineage: Eukaryota; Viridiplantae; Streptophyta; Magnoliopsida; Fabales; Fabaceae. The transcript has 2 exons. The record is from RefSeq and is a predicted model, not a curated record.